Molecule: RNA transcript, 1142 nt
Organism: Ochotona princeps (American pika)
Lineage: Eukaryota; Metazoa; Chordata; Mammalia; Lagomorpha; Ochotonidae
Gene: CIMIP2B
Gene name: ciliary microtubule inner protein 2B
Exons: 4
Source: RefSeq, a predicted model, not a curated record
AGAGCUUGGGCUCCAAGGGAAACAAACACUGCCUGGGUCCUUGCGGCAAUGGCUGGUACCUUCUUACCAGGGCUCAACUCUCCAAAUCCUCAUUAUAUCCCAGGGUACACUGGACACUGCCCCUUCCUGAGGUUCAGCAUGGGCCAGACCUACGGGCAGGUGACUGGUCAGCUACUCCGAGGCCCUCCUGGUCUAGCCUGGCCCCCUGCCCGUCGUUCACUUCUGCCACCCAUUCAGCCCCCAAGGUCUCCCACGGUCCCUGCAGGCAGCCUGCCUCUUGGGCAUGGUUGUGGAAGGCUCAGCUCCAGUAUGAUCCCCGGGUACACAGGUUUGUAUGCAGGUACGAUCAGACACCCUCAGCCUAAAAAGCUGUGUCUCCAAGUACCAACAAAGCUUUCCCGCCCCUGUCCACCCAGGGUUUGUACCCCAGGCACAGUUCAUCUUUGCCAAGAACUGCAGCCAGGUCUGGGCCGAGGUCCUGAACAGCUCCCCUCAGUGGAAGGGGAGUCCAGAGCUGCCCCAGCAGGUGGUCAAGAGAGAAACAGAAACAGAGAAAGACCAGGAGCCUGCGCUGGAGCCAGGGGCAGAGAGGCUGCCAGAGCCCCAGCAGGCAGCAGGACAGGUAUGGCACCUCAUGCUGGGCUGGUGCGCCUCAUCCUGGGCUAGUCCUGGAGUUUCACUGGGGGAUGCAGAAGGGGCAGUCAGAGGCUUGACUGCCAGCUCUGUGUCCCUUGGGGUUUGAGCGUCGGAGAUGCUAACCUCAUUUUCCUUCUGCUGACAUCUCAUAGGCUUCCCCCUACUCCAUGGAUGACACAGAUCCUCAGAAGUUCUUCAUGUCAGGAUUCACUGGCUACGUGCCCCGGGCCCGCUUCCUCUUCGGCUCCAGCUUUCCUGUGCUCACCAAGUAGGCGCUGCAGGAAUUUGGGCGGAAGCACUCUAGGGGCAGAGCCCUGAAGGGUCCUAACCCUCUCCCCCCGCUGCCCAGGACCUACUCUCAGAACGAGACUCUUCUGCCCCACUACGGGGGCUAUGUGCCGGGGUAUAAGUUCCAGUUUGGUCACACAUUUGGGCAUCUCACCCAUGAUGCGCUGGGCCUCAGCACUUUGCAGAAGCAGCUCCUGACUUAGGGAGCUGGAGUUCCA